Molecule: small nuclear RNA, 99 nt
Filed under: Myotis davidii
Lineage: Eukaryota; Metazoa; Chordata; Mammalia; Chiroptera; Vespertilionidae
Source: RNAcentral
GUGCUCACUUUGGCAGCAAGCACAUAAGCUAAAAUUGAAAGAUUACCAUGGCCCCUGAACAAGGAUGACAUGCAAAUUCAUGAAGCAUUCCAUAUAUAU